AAGGAAACGAGAAGGGAAAAGGUAGUUCGCAUUUAUAAUUUUUGUUUUUUUGUUUUUUUGGGGGGGUUGUUUUUUAACUUUGAUUCCCCC
RNAcentral lists this non-coding RNA (90 nucleotides) under Lotharella globosa. The record is from RNAcentral. Lineage: Eukaryota; Cercozoa; Chlorarachniophyceae.